CCUACGGGGUGCAGCAGUAGGGAAUUUUCGUCAAUGGGCGCAAGCCUGAACGAGCGAUGCCGCGUGAGUGAAGAAGGCCUUCUGGUCGUAAAGCUCUGUUGCGGGGGAAAAAAGGCAGCAUCAGGAAAUGGGUGCUGACUGAUGGUGCCCCGCCAGAAAGUCACGGCUAACUACGUGCCAGCAGCCGCGGUAAUACGUAGGGGGCGAGCGUUAUCCGGAAGGAUUGGGCGUAAAGGGUGCGCAGGCGGUCCUGCAAGUCUGGAGUGAACCGCAUGAGCUCAAAUCAUGCAUGGCUUUGGAAACUGGAGGACUGGAGGGCAGGAGAGGGCGGUGGAACUCGAGGUGUAGCGGUAAAAUGCGUAGAUAUAUGGAAGAACACCAGUGGCGAAGGCGGCCGCCUGGCCUGUUGCUGACGCUGAGGCACGAAAGCGUGGGGAGCAAAUAGGAUUAGAUACCCUUGUAGUC
Molecule: ribosomal RNA, 465 nt
Filed under: uncultured bacterium
Lineage: Bacteria
Description: partial 16S ribosomal RNA
Rfam family: Bacterial small subunit ribosomal RNA
Source: RNAcentral